UUCCGCGCCCUGCCCGCCCCGGGUUGUGUGGUGAAAGCCUGCUCCCUGCUGACCCGGCCUCGGCAACCAUUUGUUUAAUUGCACUGAAAUGCUGGGAGCGCCCUUCAGCCUCCUCCUCCAGGGGCUGUGGGGAAAAGCACAGAUGAACCCAAUAAGUCACGAAUCAGAACCAAAAUGAGUGCCAAACAGCUUUCUGCCCCCUGUGCCUCUCUGCUCUGUCUCAGUGCGGCCAGCCCCGAGCUUCCUGACCCACAGAGCUACCAGCCACGGGGUCCCAGCCCCUCUGGAGUCCGCAUUUAACUCCAGCUUCCCUACCACCACCUCCCCGACACUUACACAGAGCCCCUACUCGUACUCUGCUAGGGCUGUUUCCUCCGCGGCAACCUGUGGUGGGCAGCUGCUGGCCCCUCAGGUCAAAAGAUUGGCAUCGCUGAGGCGUUGAAAUGGACCUGCUCACUCGGGACAUCCUUCGCGGCCCUUUGAAGUGCGCAGGAGCCUUCCCGCUGGUUUCGGUGGGAACGGCCGCCUCCUUUGUCUGCUGUGCUAGUCGGGGUGUGCCAAUUAGCGUUCCCCACUGAUUGGGAGAGGAAAGGGCAAGGGACUGGAGACAGAUUUAUGAAGGUUGUGGAUGUCUGUAGACCAGGAUAUUUGACACGCGACCCUUCUAGCAUCUCAGCUGGCUAGAAACGAGUGGAAAAGACAGCCAGUUACGAGUGAAAGUCUUACACUGUGAAGCCAACAGUUACUCCUGUGGUGACAAAUACGGCCUGCGGAGCAACAGAAGAUGAACUGAAAAGCCAGACGUCGGAAUUAAAUUGCAAGAUGGUUGUUUUGACAGAGACGAUGACCUCCUGGAGUCCAGCAUUAUGUGAGGGUUGGCAUUGGUAACAACCAGCUCCCCCCUCAGUCACGUAGGGAAUCACUUUCCCAAGACAGUUCUCCUGCCAGCGAGGUUUGUUUGCUUGGUGGCAAGAAACAAUGGCCAACUCGGGUUGUUACUUGAAUGUUUAGUGACUGAGAAGUGGAAUCUGGCUUCAUGCUAAAUCCAUUCUCUUAGCUAGUCAAAUGCCAGCUUGGCAGCCUGUCUAUAAGCUGAUAGCACAGAUAGAGGAGUGGCUGGGGGGAUUGCUGUCAGCAGUCUCCGGUAAGUCUGCUUUUAAGACACCUCUUUCCAUUGGGGAAAAAACACGGUUACCGUCUUCAGGACUGGAUGAGAGAGGAGGGGGAGAGGCAUGGACAUUGUCUGGAGCUUGGUGUUGCCCUUUUCAAGGUGCCUUACAAGCAGUGAUGGGCUUAGCUUUGAGUCAGGCCAGCAUUCAUUCACUACAGCAGUGACAACCACAGUCAGCAGGAGGGGAAAGCAUGGCAUGUAGGACCUAGUUCUGCUCUUGUUGGAAGAACAACAACACAAGACGUGAGUUUUUCAAUUACCCAGUCUUAUUCUGCAAAGGGAAGCGCAGUUAGAGGUGGCACCCAGGUGCCUGGGGAACUCGGAGCAGGGCUGUGUGGUGAUACCCACAUCUCAAGUUGUGCCCUCACUGCGUGUGGCUUUUUAAAGUGCUGAGACUCGGCCUUCAGAUCAUAGAAUCACUCAGGUUGGUUGGAAAAGGCCUUCAUUGCCAGUGUGAGAGCACCACCCCAGACAAGGACAACGCACUAGGUUACAUCCUCGUUGUACUGAUGUCGCAAACAAGUUAUUCUUGUACACUGCAGAAAGCCUCACAACCACAAAACCAGCAAUAAUUUUAUAAAUGAUAAGCUUGUUUUCCUCCUCCUCUUCCCAGAUAUUCUGAGUACAGCAGGCAGCAGAGAUGUGCAUUGCUGGAAUCCGGAGAGUUUCAUAAUGUGGCAGCCGCUUGCUGAAAGCCCUGCAGAUACAAAACAACACUUAUUUUAAGUCUUGAGAAAUAUCUUCUCUUACCAAGGAGAAGAAAAGAACCCAAAACAUGUAGGUGAAGCAAUAUGGCCGGUUCCAUUUGUUUACGAGGCUUGUUUUUUGUCUUUAUACAUUUUAAAUGCUUUUUAUUUGUAUUCUGUUUUUUGAGCCUUUCAAGUUCAUGUUUUCCAUUUUUUUUUUUCAUACAACAAGAAAGUCUGGAAUUGAGUCCUUUAAAAACAAAACUCCGGUUGAGCGUCCCUGUAUAGCCAUGUAACUCCAGACACGGCGGGUUUAAAAAUAUCCCUGCUUUCAUGAGAAUUGCCCAUCUCUCAGUGCUAAGUUUAAGUAAGUGCUUUGUUGAAAGUUUAAGACGAUUAUAACAACACCUGUCUGUGUUUGCUUUCCAGGCAGAUCCCUCUCUUCUUUUCCAAACAUUUAGAGCUUGUCUCUCCUCUGCAUGUGCUGAUGGGGUCAGAAAUGCAGUGCACCAGCCUGGCUAACGCAUGUCGAAUAAUUCAUACAAGUGCUUGUGAAAGUACAGGUGUGCAGAUUUCAUGCCGUUGUCCCCCUAAGGUGCUGAGUGGUACCAGAGGGUACAGAGCCCACCGUCCGGGCAGCAGGGGGAGGGUGGUGCUGCCAUCCCGGGAGCAGAAAGCCUCGGUGACUCCCUGGGGGAACCACAAAUGCCUCCAGAGCAUGAUGUUUAACCCAGUCCUUGAUUUUGGGAGGCAGUUGACAGACGAGUGAUUUCUUUUGGUUCACUUUGCUGAAUGUAACGGCUUUAACUCUGCUGUGUGACGUGGUGCUGUUCCCGAGUUCACCACGAAGGAGACGUCCUCGCUCAGCGUGCAGGUUUGUCUUCCACUGCUGGGCACACACAAGUGCCUGGAAAUGCGAUAUCCAAGGGACACAGAAACAGCUUUUUGGCCGGCUGCUCUUUCUGUUCUCUCUCUAGCCAUAACGCCCGGUAAAAGCGGAGCCUUUUGCCUGCCUCACUGCUCCGUAAAAGCCCCGCUCUGGGCUGCCAGGCCCAGGCUGGCACUUCCAGGAGGUUACCGCUCUACUUGUGUGGUUUGAAUCGCUUAAGUCUUUGGCCUUGUGCCUUCAAGUGCCAGCAGAGGCAUGCUGUAAUUGCCCGUAAAUGCACCGUCUGUCAUAUUAUUGUUUAAUUAUUCCAGCUUCUCACUGCCACACACUGCUUAGUGUCUCUCUUGCUAUCUUUAUUUAAUUGAGUGGAAAAAAUCCGAGACUUGCGCUUCGCUUACGUCACUUUGUAUUUACCCAGCAUCACUGGAUCCUACUUUGAAGUCCCAGCUUUUGUACGUAGAAGCCAGCCUUCUACGCAGAAAAAAAAUAAUGUAAAUGUCUAAAGCAUAUGUUAGAGACAGAAUCAAUAUUUUAACACAUGGUAAACUCGGGCCAUAAAUCUCUUAACACAGUCAGAUGAUUGUAUUGUUCUCCUUUCAAACUCUGCUCUGCCCCUUGAGAAACAAGACAGGGAAAGAAAACCAUGAAUAACCAAGCCCUUGUCCUCACAAUGCAGGAUUGUUCUUAGCCUGUCACUUUGUCUGUGCCACCUCUUCCUUUUCUGGCUACUAGCUCUCUUUUUUCUUCUCCGCCGAAUGCCUUCAUCUCCAAGAGCCUUCUUUCCCUAGCCCAUCCCUACUGAUGGGUUUUAGCUUAUUAUCAGGAUAUCAGCUCUGUCCCGGGAUCAGCCUGUGUUGACCAGUCUCACUGCCCUCUUCUGACAGUUUCAAACACCUCUCUGCUUCCUCCAAGCCUGCAACAAACCCAUUAUUAAUGUGUGUGUUGAAAAAAGAAAUCAUCUCGCAGAGAUCUCUCCUUGUCCGUAUGGUCUAUAAAAAAACUUGGCAGCAUGUUGACUGCUUUCCUUUCCUCAUGCUCCCCGUGUCUGCGACAAAUAAACGCAUGUCAUUUUUCUGGUCCUAUUCUCAGUCUUCUGUCUCUGAACCAGAGCAACCUUUUUGUACAGCACCCAGCACACACAAUUGGGAUCAAGCAACUCUGUGUUACUGCACCAACGGUAAAUAUUAGGGUUGCUGGCACUCUCCCUGGACUAGUUUUCCUGUCUCUAGGCAAAGGGAGUUUCAUGAUGUCCUUUUGGAAGAUCACCGUGUGCUUGAAUAAAUCUUGCUUUCAGGACUUUUCUUUUUUUCAUAAAUCCUCAGCUGAAAUUUUCAUUCACAGGUGUGCUCCGUACAAUGCCUAGCUGCCUGGCAGAGCCAGCGUUGUUUCUGGGGCUGUGCUUUUGGCUUCCCAUAACCGUAAGAUUACUCAUUUCAUACUAUUUUCUGAUUUGUUUUAUUUUUCAUCCAUCUCUUUCCUGCAGGAAAGAGCAAUUUAUAUAAUGAUUUCACUGUGGAAUUGACUUCAGGCUUUACUGCUAUUUGUCACCAUUCAGGAAAUCCAUCCCUGGCUCCAGAAGAACACUCAGUCCCUGCUGACAGUCUGGAAGAGGGAGAGAAAAUAGAUAGCAGAGCUGAAGCUAUUAAGACCAACAGGCACAUAUUUUAUUCCAACUCAAUUUUCCCUUCCCAAAUACCUUUUAAAGAAAAUCUUUCUCUUUGAGAGACCGUGAAUUAAGGUUGGUUUUGUUUGUUUUUUUGAGGGAAGAGGUUGUUGUAGAUUUUUUGUUUUGUUUUGUUGUUGUUUUUUGGGGUACUUGCUGAUCUUCAUCUUCGUCCACAUUUCAGACAGCAGAGCCUGCAGCCAUGACACGAUGCAAUCCCAAGCAAAACGGCUGCUGCCUCUGGCCUUGGUUAACCUGCUGGCAGUGAUACUUGCCUGGGCAUGGGGCAGCUGGCUUUUUACACAGCUCAGCAUGGAUAUGCUGCCACUCCCAGUCACUUUUAGGACACAGCAGAGUUGUUUUUCUUAAGAUUACUUCUGAAGAAAAACAUGUAAUAAAAUGUUCGACCUUCCCAGGGCCACCACUCCCUGAGACCUUUCCCCUUUCUUGGCUUCUGUGAGAGCUUCUUUCCCUCGGCUUCACACCUUUAUCAGCUGAAAACGAUAAGGGUACAGAGCUGCUUGGCUCCAGGCUCUCCCUUUGAAGGACAGGCUGCGCUGCCACACCGUUGUGCCUCUGGGGGACUGGACGAUCACCGAGGACAAUGGGGAAGUGAAGUCUGCUCCCUCUUUUGUGUGGAGCAGAGGCAGGACUUGGCCUUUUAUGAAGUUCAGCAGGGGAAAACUCGGGCUUUCGCACUCGUGUUCCUGCAUUCCGUGCCCUACCCGUCAGCCUGGUGCUAAUCUUCACGGACCUUUGAAGGCAAGAAACGACACGCAGUGCAAAUGAAAGCUUAGCCAGGGUAUUGGUGCCAGCCAGUUUUAGAAGUCUGACACGGGAGCCAAGUGGAACAGGUACAGGGGCAGGAGAUGCCGUGUACCACCUGCAGGCACACAGACCUACGGUGCUUGCGCAGCAUCGGAGCCCAACGGCAAAGCGCGGCGGGCGAGGAGCUGGGGAGCCCAGGGCCACAUCAGGCUCAAAUGCACUUUCCCGGGGAGGAAGUGGCUUUUCCCUUGGAAAGCUCAACUCCCCAGGGUCCCUAUGAGGUCAAUGGAAAAAGUGAUUUCUUCAGAACAUGAUUCAGAGUGCCUGAACACAGGCUUAUCAUUUCAACUAGGGAUGGAGCUUAGCCUCUGUAGUUUUAAAGUAAAUUUGUGAGUACCCAUCCCCUCCUACCCCCUAGUUUGGGACUGAUGCUGGGGGUUAGUGGUAGGCAGGGUGCCCACCACAAUUCAGAUGCUGCAGACCCAAAGCCUUGUCUGCUACAGCGCUGCAUGUCCUAUUGGAUCCUGCUUUGUCCUUGUGGCAUCUCCUGGGAUGUCAGAAAUGGAUCUGCAAGUAGCAGAAGAAUCAAAUGAAGUCAAGAAAUGUUGGUUUCUUUAUGGAUAGCCUGACUGGAGCUGGAAUAAUCAGCAUCUGUUUCAGUUUAAGCGAGUUUUCAUUCCAGCCUCUCUCCCUUUUCAAAGUACAGACAACCGAAGCCUUUAAUUUGCCGUGUCUUUCACUAGAGAAAAGUAGGAGUUUCUAGCAGCUGAUACUAUCCUGCCUCGAAAUCUACACUACAAAAAUACAGUUUAUUGUCUGUUGUGAAUGAAAAAGCUCUCGCUUGUUUCUCUUGUUUGUAGUGUUGACUUUGAAAGAUAAAUUGUUUGAACUGGUUGACUCUCCGUUUGUGUAAGUGAAGAUUAGCUUGCUUGAUAGCCGGCUGGAUUUGCAGUUUCCCCUUGCACUAAAUAAACCGAAGACCUGCCAGCCUGGGGCAGUUAGGACACAGCACAGACUUGAAAAAGUCGGUGUGCAUGCUGGUGAAUAUGGGAAACUCCUCUCAUGUCUGGCAUUUUGGAUGUGCCAUUUCAGGGUCGGUGUGUCCUGCCUUUCCUCCUGGAGAAGCCCUUGUAGGACCUGGAAAGCGCGUCUGAAACCUUGCUACCAGAUAGGUUCCUAAUGAGU
Molecule: non-coding RNA, 6362 nt
Organism: Anas platyrhynchos (mallard)
Lineage: Eukaryota; Metazoa; Chordata; Aves; Anseriformes; Anatidae
Source: RefSeq, a predicted model, not a curated record